Molecule: transfer RNA, 93 nt
Filed under: Pyrobaculum sp.
Lineage: Archaea; Thermoproteati; Thermoproteota; Thermoprotei; Thermoproteales; Thermoproteaceae
Description: tRNA-Phe
Rfam family: tRNA
About the family: Transfer RNA (tRNA) molecules are approximately 80 nucleotides in length.
Source: RNAcentral
GCGGCCGUAGCUCAGCGGGAGAGCGCCCGGCUGAAGACCGGGCGGUCCCGGGUUCAGGCUAGAAGCCGCCAAAAAGUCCCGGCGGCCGCACCA